AGCAUGAAAAAGCUGUUUUUUAUUAAUAUUUAGUUACUUAAUAGUCUUUCGGCGUCCAUCUGGGAGUACCUCGCUCACUUUGUUCGAGACGCGCAAGAAAACAUUUCAGGGUUCACGUGAGCUCAUCAGGCAGCCCGGCCGCGGAUAGAGUUUUGAUAUAUUGUCCAGUACGAGGAUUCCGGGCUUGUAUAAAACAGCCACCGUGUUUGCCAUUGCUGUGGCCGAACGAUACACCGCCCGGACAAGGACCAUUCAUUUGUGCGCUCACCUGGACAAAAUCGUGCAGCCAUGACACCGAGGCGACCUGCAACGACAUGCGUACUGCUCGCCCUCAUCCUGCUCCUCGGCUUCCUCGCCUCGGCCAACGCAUGCGACCAGCUGGAGUGCGCCCACCGCUGCCACACCGCCGCGGCCCAUUGGGGCUCCUGCAUUCGUGGCAUGUGCACUUGCGGAGAGCUGGGGCCGCCCACCACCGCCGUGCACCUGCCGCCUCCGUUCCUCGGAGGGCCGUUGUUUUAGAAGCCGCCGCAUGAGCUGGCGCCUUCGUUUGACCGCACUUCAGACGAAUAAAAUUCGCGCCCAACUCGUC
This is a long non-coding RNA of Dermacentor andersoni, 589 nucleotides long. RefSeq lists it as uncharacterized. NCBI's taxonomy places the organism in Eukaryota, Metazoa, Arthropoda, Arachnida, Ixodida, Ixodidae. The record is from RefSeq and is a predicted model, not a curated record.